RNAcentral lists this ribosomal RNA (700 nucleotides) under uncultured bacterium. Its description in RNAcentral is "bacterial SSU rRNA". It matches the Rfam family "Bacterial small subunit ribosomal RNA", at positions 8 to 699 of the family's 1533-position model. The record is from RNAcentral.
AGAGUUUGAUCCUGGCUCAGAACGAACGCUGGCGGCGCGUUUUAAGCAUGCAAGUCGAGCGGCAAGGGCCUUCGGGCCCCUAGAGCGGCGGACGGGUGAGUAACACGUGGACAAUCUGCCCCCCGGACCGGGAUAGCCCAGGGAAACCUGGAUUAAUACCGGAUGAGAGCGUCGGCGCACAAGCGUCGGCGGGGAAAGGCGCUGCGGCGCCGCCGGGGGAUGAGUCUGCGGCCCAUUAGCUGGAUGGCGGGGUAAAGGCCCACCAUGGCGACGAUGGGUAGCCGGCCUGAGAGGGUGAUCGGCCACAUUGGAACUGAGACACGGUCCAGACUCCUACGGGAGGCAGCAGCUAAGAAUCUUCCGCAAUGGGCGAAAGCCUGACGGAGCGACGCCGCGUGAACGAUGAAGGCCGUGAGGUUGUAAAGUUCUUUUCGGGAGGGAGAACAACCGUGGCAGGGAAUGGCCGCGGGAUGACGUGAAUCCCGGAAUAAGCCCCGGCUAACUACGUGCCGGCAGCCGCGGUAACACGUAGGGGGCGAGCGUUGUUCGGAAUCAUUGGGCGUAAAGGGCGUGCAGGCGGCCCUGCAAGUCCGGCGUGAAAGACCCCGGCCCAACCGGGGGGACGCGCUGGAACUGCAGGGCUUGAAUACAGGAGGGGAUGCCGGAAUUCCAGGUGUAGGGGUGAAAUCUGUAGAUAUCU